GAUGAACGCUGGCGGCGUGCCUAAUACAUGCAAGUCGAGCGAACAGAUGAGGAGCUUGCUCCUCUGUCGUUAGCGGCGGACGGGUGAGUAACACGUGGAUAACCUACCUAUAAGACUGGGAUAACUUCGGGAAACCGGAGCUAAUACCGGAUAAUAUAUUGAACCGCAUGGUUCAAUAGUGAAUGACGGUUUUGCUGUCACUUAUAGAUGGAUCCGCGCCGCAUUAGCUAGUUGGUAAGGUAACGGCUUACCAAGGCAACGAUGCGUAGCCGACCUGAGAGGGUGAUCGGCCACACUGGAACUGAGACACGGUCCCGACUCCUACGGGAGGCAGCAGUAGGGAAUCUUCCGCAAUGGGCGAAAGCCUGACGGAGCAACGCCGCGUGAGUGAUGAAGGUCUUCGGAUCGUAAAACUCUGUUAUUAGGGAAGAACAAAUGUGUAAGUAACUAUGCACGUCUUGACGGUACCUAAUCAGAAAGCCACGGCUAACUACGUG
Molecule: ribosomal RNA, 497 nt
Filed under: uncultured bacterium
Lineage: Bacteria
Description: partial 16S ribosomal RNA
Rfam family: Bacterial small subunit ribosomal RNA
Source: RNAcentral